GGGAUUGCAGUGGCAAAGCUAGGCUAGGUCUUGGAGGCUGGUGUAAGGCGAUGUGGGUGAAGGCAGGAGGCUGAUGGAAAGACUGGGGGGAAGAAAAGCCGAAAUGGAUUCACGGUGCCUUGGAUGAAGGACGAGAGGGGAACUGCAAGCUCCUUCAACUGGUUCUGUCCGGUGAGAAGUGAUCAAGCUUGGGCUGACAAGAGGCUCAGGGAGCCCUCACGUUCUUUCGCUUUUUUACCUGCCAAUCAAACUGCUACAAGACAACACCCUGAUCUGGCAUGGACAUCGCGGGUCCAAGCCUGUAGCCCCAAAUCGGAUAAUCUCUGCAGCUGAUAACAAGCAAAAGAGAAGCCAGGCAACAGCCAUAUUAAAGAAGAAAACAAUCAACUCUGAGGCGGAGUCUCGCUCUGUUGCCUAGGCUGGAGUGCAGUGGCACAAUCUUGGCUCACCACAACCUCCACCUCCCAAGUUCAAGGGAUUCUCCUGCCUCAGGCUCCUGAGUAGCUGAGAUGACAAGCUCCCACCACCAUGCUCAGCUAAUUUAUCCAACUUAGAAAUAAUGUUUCAUUCAAGAUAAGGCUCGUGGCUUAGGAGAUUGUGACCUGGCUUGCAUCAUUCUAAGACUUCUAUCGUCUGUUUUCAAAACCCAAGGAGGACCUCCUUUUCUGUGUGAUAGUUCCUCAUGCUUUGCCAGCCACUGGGUCUUUAAGGAAGCUUGCCAAGAGUUCCCGGCUGGGAAGGACAGUUCGAGUUCAUCAUAGACAAUGAGCUGGCACCACAGUUUAAGUGACUCACCAA
RNAcentral lists this long non-coding RNA (798 nucleotides) under Homo sapiens (human). Its description in RNAcentral is "SOX2 overlapping transcript". The stretch from base 11 to 286 matches the Rfam family "SOX2 overlapping transcript exon 3". Lineage: Eukaryota; Metazoa; Chordata; Mammalia; Primates; Hominidae. The record is from RNAcentral.